Molecule: ribosomal RNA, 814 nt
Filed under: Tilletiopsis sp. B-TB2005
Lineage: Eukaryota; Fungi; Basidiomycota; Exobasidiomycetes; Entylomatales
Description: partial contains internal transcribed spacer 1, 5.8S ribosomal RNA and internal transcribed spacer 2
Rfam family: 5.8S ribosomal RNA (bases 360-513)
Source: RNAcentral
GCACCGCCUGUCGCUACUACCGAUUGAAUGGCUUAGUGAGCCUUUGGGAUUGGCGUUCGGGAGCCGGCAACGGCACCUGAUUGCUGAGAACUUAUGCAAACUUGGUCAUUUAGAGGAAGUAAAAGUCAUAACAAGGUUUCUGUAGGUGAACCUGCAGAAGGAUCAUUAUUGAAUAAUAGGGCUUCCCAUUCUUUGGGGCCCGAACCUCACAUAAUUUCCACACACUUGUGAAUCGUUGGAGCAUGGAAGGAGAGACUCUCUCGAGUCUCUGUGAAAAUGCUCUGGCACCCAUUUAUUAUUACAAACUCUGAGUUAAUGGAUGUAGUUGUAAACUUGUCUUUUGACAGAAACAAAAAUACAACUUUCAACAACGGAUCUCUUGGUUCUCCCAUCGAUGAAGAACGCAGCGAAACGCGAUAGUUAAUGUGAAUUGCAGAAUUCAGUGAAUCAUCGAGUCUUUGAACGCAUCUUGCGCUCCUUGGUAUUCCGAGGAGCAUGCCUGUUUGAGUGUCAUGAAUCCCUCAGCCCCCAAUGCUUUUCGUUAAGUGUUGGCUUGGGUCUGGAUUUGGGCGAUUGCCAGAGAGCUUUUUCAAGUUCCUGGCUCGCCUCAAAGAGAUUAGCUGGACCCCAUUCCGAGCUGGUUCAACUCGACGUGAUAAUUUCAUUCGUCGAGGUAUGGUUCUUCUCCCUUAAACAAGGAGUGGAUCCAGCCAGGUGUAGGAAUCCGGUCUGCUUCCAACUUCUGUCUGAAGUCCAAUUUAUUGGGCAUGCAGCAGACUUUUUAAUGUCGGCCUCAAAUCAGGUAGGAUUACCC